Molecule: long non-coding RNA, 1763 nt
Organism: Macaca fascicularis (crab-eating macaque)
Lineage: Eukaryota; Metazoa; Chordata; Mammalia; Primates; Cercopithecidae
Source: Ensembl
UUUUUUUUGUUUUGCCAAGACUGCUCACCAGUCUUUGCUAACAUCAAGAAAUUGCUAUGGGAAGAAAACAAAGCAUUGCACAUUAAGGUGAUAGCUAUUCUUGGUCAAAAGCCACUAUAAAAAAGCCAAAUGAAAUGAGAGAUUAAUUUCCAUUGCGAAUUUGCAGCUAAUGCCACAGGGCUGUGCAGCUUCUUUUUCUCAGCUUGUAGGAGCACGUGCUCAGCUGAAGUUUAAUGAUAUUUUCUUGCACGAGCCACAGUAACAGAAAAAGCCUUGUUUUGAUACCUAAUUAAAUGUGAACAAGCCGUUUUGGAUGUUAGCAACUUAUGACAUAUCUGCUUCCGGAUAUUAAAUACAAGUUGUCGUGUGUGGGUGUAGAAUUGCUGACCCAAAGCUUUUGCGUUAAGAAAUAAAAACUCUGCAUUUGGUCAGACAGGGUGGCGAGUGUGGGGUCCCGAGAAGAGAGCCGUGGAGCUCCGAAUAUUGUAAGAUGCAAUGACAGGCAUCAGAAUUCCAGAGGUGGUUACUUGGUGCCAGUCCUUCUACAGUGCAAGGGGUUCUUGAGGGCUGGCGAAAAAUAACUGGAAGGAGAGAAAGGCAGAAGGGAGGAAGAGGAAGGCAGCCCCUGCUCUCCUCCUUGCUCUUUCUUGUCCCCAUGCUCAGUGGAGCACUGCCCUACUUUGCACAGCCCACGUCACGGAAGUCCGAGGCCCGCUGACCACACUGCCUGGAUGUCUUCCACAAUCCAAUCCCUCUGGGCCGGCCCUUCCUAUUGCCCCCUCCCCAGCCUGCACGCACACUGUCAUCUGGCUCGGCCGGGUCUCACCGGUCCUCCUCCCUACUCUUGCACCUUGACAGUGCUUUCUCCAGGGGCCACUGCGGGUCUCAUCAAAACGCACAUCUAUCCCUGUGCCCGGCACUCUGAUGACACUAGGCAGAUUUGCCCCACCUGCCCCUCAACCCCUUGCUGUGCACCUUUCCUUCUGGGCGCGGGUGACCCAACCCUCUGCUAUUAUGGGCUGAAUGGUGUCCCCCCAAAUUCCCAUGUUGAGCCCCUAACCCCCAGGACCUCAGAAGGGACUGUAUUUGGACAUAGCUCCUUCAAAGAGGCAAUUAAGUUAAACUGAGGUGGCUGAGGUGGGCCUUCAUCUGAUAGGACCGGGGUCCUGAUGAGAAGAGGAGAUUGGGGCACAGACACACACAGAGGGAUGACCCUGUGAGGACACAGGGAGAAGACGCCCUCUACAAGCCAAGGAGAGAAGCCUUAGGAGAAACUAACCCUGACCAUAUUUUGACCUUGGACUUCCAGCCUCCAGGACGGUGAGAAAAUGCUUUUGCAUUGGUUAAGCUGCCCAGUCUGUGGUCUUUUGUUAUGACAGUCCCAGAAAAUGAAUACGAUGGUUUAUUAUGCCUGGAACUCAUUUCUUGUGUCUCAGAGUCUAUGUCCUUGUUCUCUGUGCUUGGACCUAUGCCAUCCAAGUGGGAACUGCCGGCCCCAGGCUAGGACGCAUUCUAUGACAUGCACAGCACGUCGCACCUGUGAGGUUUAAUGCUGACUACCUGUUGUAGGGAUAACAUUUGGAUCUACUGUCUACUGGGUUAAAUAGAAUGUACUGUUUACGCCAACUUCACGUAGUUUUCCUUUUCACUGUGGCUCCUGGAAUCAUUUCAGGCCACACAUGGCUCCCCGUGUGCUCACUGGGGCUGGGUAGGCUGCUUGUCCUGGUUCAUCCCGUGCCACCCCCCACUGCAUCCCACUCAGA